RNAcentral lists this ribosomal RNA (253 nucleotides) under uncultured bacterium. Its description in RNAcentral is "partial 16S ribosomal RNA". It matches the Rfam family "Bacterial small subunit ribosomal RNA", at positions 524 to 776 of the family's 1533-position model. The record is from RNAcentral.
UACAGAGGUCUCAAGCGUUGUUCGGAUUCAUUGGGCGUAAAGGGUGCGUAGGCGGCGCGGUAAGUCGGGUGUGAAAUCUCGGGGCUUAACUCCGAAACUGCAUUCGAUACUGCCGUGCUUGAGGACUGGAGAGGAGACUGGAAUUUACGGUGUAGCGGUGAAAUGCGUAGAUAUCAGGAGGAACACCGGUGGUGUAGACGGCUUUCUGGACCGUAACUGACGCUGAGACACGAAAGCGUGGGUAGCAAACAGG